Long non-coding RNA from Syngnathus typhle (broad-nosed pipefish), 1119 nucleotides. RefSeq lists it as uncharacterized. The record is from RefSeq and is a predicted model, not a curated record. The transcript has 5 exons. Lineage: Eukaryota; Metazoa; Chordata; Actinopteri; Syngnathiformes; Syngnathidae.
GGCCUUCUUGCGCCGGAAGUCUCGCUUCGUGGACACAAGGGUUCUGGGCCCCAGGGAGCACUGGACCGAGGCAUCCUGCUUGGGGUUGACCUGGACGGCCACGUCCUUGGUGUUUGCCUUUCGGAGCCUCGGCGUGAGUUUGGGGUUGAUUUGAGACAAGAUGGACUUGAGCUGGGCCCGCUGCUGGUUGUUGAACGCCUCCGAAGCCUCGCCAUAGUGGGACAGGCGUAGGGUCUGGCGGGCAGGGGUCCAGCCUGAUGGUGUUUGGGUCGCUCACCGUCACCGCCCCGUACGAAGCGUCAAAAUCAACGUCUUCGUCCUGGAAGCGCUGGUACGUGAUGUCCGUAUCCUCACCGUCCCGCCGGGCCGGCGGCUCCUCCUUGCCCAGCACCUGCUUGCGGUACGUCCGGUACACCAGGAUGAAGACGCCCGCCUCGGCCGCCUGGAAGAGCGCGUAGAGUAGCGGGAACAUGUACAUGCCGCCCAUCAGCUGCGGCGGGAAGGCCAGCUUGAGGAUGGCGGUGCAUAGCUGCACGUUCUGGCAGCCCGUCUCCAGCGAGACGGCGCGACGGCAGUUGGGCGGCAGAUGGAACAACACGGCCAGGCCGUAGCCCGCCGCGUAGCCGCACAUGGGCAUCAACAGGGCCACGACGUACACGGAGGGCGGGAUGGCCGACAGCAGCUCGGGGCCCAGCAUGGCCGCCGUCAGGAUGAAGAGCAGCACCAGGGUGAUGAGUAGAGACCACAGCGACGCCUGAACACACACCAGACGGACGGGCAGCCUGUGUUAUCACGCGCUGACAUCGCGCACAGGAAAUAAAAGCGGCCCCGUCUCGUCAGGAGAGGACGGGAAGAUGACGAAGAGGAGGGUGACUCAACUCAAGACUGUCGUCAGACUCCAAAAACAGCCAAUAAGCUAAUGGGCCACUCAAGGCUUUGGGUCUGGAGGCACUCAUCCUUGUGGUACUGCUGCGGCUCAGAUCGACCGGCUUCUGGACUCUCCGGCAACACCUCCUGCGAGUCUACAAGCAAAUACAGACAGGUCUGAGCUGCCGGCUUCUCGUGCCUUAAAGGAGAAUCUUUCACAAUUAAGGGAGGAAGCGAAAGGUUUCUCACUUU